AUGGUUGUUGGUGCGCUGCCGGACUUCAAAUCCAGGUCGAUGUGGCAG
Molecule: transfer RNA, 48 nt
Filed under: Scrippsiella trochoidea
Lineage: Eukaryota; Dinophyceae; Peridiniales; Peridiniaceae
Description: partial Selenocysteine transfer RNA
Source: RNAcentral